Stomoxys calcitrans (stable fly) is the source of this 354-nucleotide long non-coding RNA. RefSeq lists it as uncharacterized. The record is from RefSeq and is a predicted model, not a curated record. The transcript has 2 exons. NCBI's taxonomy places the organism in Eukaryota, Metazoa, Arthropoda, Insecta, Diptera, Muscidae.
UUAGUGUUAAACAUGAUGUCAUACAAAUUGUUCAUAUUAUUAACGAUUUUCAUAAUAAUCCAUAUAUGUGGAGCUCGAGUACCUCGGUGUCAGAUUAUGUGUGGCGAGAUUUAUGAUCCUGUUUGUGCUUCACUAAGGCGCAGAGAUGGCACUACAAUCUACUGUACCUUUUCAAAUGCAUGUAAAUUGGGCGUGCGCCGUUGUGUAUACAUGGAACCUUGGGAAGGUGCUCGAGGAAGAUGUUUUAUUAAUUCUUCUGUAUGCCAAACCUUUACUGGUUAAAAUAUUUUUAUAAAUCUGUAUUUGAAAAAAAAAAAUUGAAAUAUAAAUAAACAUAACUGUUAAUUACUAAUA